AGUGAACGCUCGCUGUAGGCCUAACACAUGCAAGUCGAACGGCAGCACAGUAAGAGCUUGCUCUUACGGGUGGAGAGUGGCGGACGGCUGGGGAAGACAUCGGCAUCUACUUUUCCGUGGUGGAUAACGGAGGGAAACUUACCCGAAUACCGCAUACGAGCUACGGGUGCAAACAGGGGAUCUUCCGACCUUGCGCGAUUGAAUGUGCCCACGUCGGAUUAGCUAAUUGGCGGUGUAAAGGCCCACCAAGUCGACGAUCCUUAGCUGGUCUGAAAGGAUGAUCCGCCACGCUGGUACUGUGACGCGUGCCAGACUACUACGGGAGGAAGCAGUGGGGAAUAUUGGACGAUGGGGGCAAGCGUGGUCCAGUCAUACCGCGUGGGUGAAGCAGGCUUUCGGGUUGGAUAGACCUUUUGUUGGGAAAGAAAAGCAGCAGGUUCAUGCCCCGGUGUUCUGACGGUACCAAAAGAAUAAGCACCGGCUGACUUCGUG
This 492-nucleotide ribosomal RNA is filed under the name uncultured bacterium. Its description in RNAcentral is "partial 16S ribosomal RNA". It matches the Rfam family "Bacterial small subunit ribosomal RNA", at positions 29 to 507 of the family's 1533-position model. The record is from RNAcentral.